CCAAACAGUCUGUGGAGAAACAGCCUCUGCUGCACUGAGCUGAGCCAGCGGACUUACUUCUCUGGUUGAGGCGGGAAGAUGUCUGAGGCCCCAAUCCAGCAGAUUUCCAUCUCCGUUUGCGGUCUGAGGACAUAUGAGGUGCAGAGCCGGCAGAGUUCCGUCUCUGCUUGUCAGUGGGUGUUGUUUCUCGGUCCUCUUCCAGGAAUUCUUCUGUUGAGGUGCUUGACUGGCCACUACAAACUAAAAAGCUACUCCAAUAGUGCAUGACGUAGUUAUGGAUGACCAGUGCAAAGGUGUUUGCCAUUGAACAUGCCGGCAGGGUUCCGUCUCUGCUUGUCAGUGGGUGUUGUUUCUCGGUCCUCUUCCAGGACUUCUGUUGAGGUGCUUGACUGGCCACUACAAACUAAAAAGCUACUCCAAUAGUGCAUGACGUAGUUAUGGAUGACCAGUGCAAAGGUGUUUGCCAUUGAACAUGCCGGCAGGGUUCCGUCUCUGCUUGUCAGUGGGUGUUGUUUCUCGGUCCUCUUCCAGGACUUCUGUUGAGGUGCUUGACUGGCCACUACAAACUAAAAAGCUACUCCAAUAGUGCAUGACGUAGUUAUGGAUGACCAGUGCAAAGGUGUUUGCCAUUGAACAUGCCGGCAGGGUUCCGUCUCUGCUUGUCAGUGGGUGUUGUUUCUCGGUCCUCUUCCAGGACUUCUGUUGAGGUGCUUGACUGGCCACUACAAACUAAAAAGCUACUCCAAUAGUGCAUGACGUAGUUAUGGAUGACCAGUGCAAAGGUGUUUGCCAUUGAACAUACGGCUCCCAUGUCACAGCGACAUGCGGCCUGCAGUUGAGCAAGGUUGCCGUGUGAACGCAAAGACAUCCUUUUUGACGCAACUUCCACAAUGUCCUCCACUGCGUUCACCUCACUGAACUCAACGCUGUCUUCCACUAAGCAGACAUAGAUUCCAAAGUGCUCCAGGGCACGCUUGACCUCCACCAGGAGAUUCUUCAUUAGACCAAAUGGCUCGGUGGCCCUGCUGGUGUGCGGGCACUCUCUGGCAUACGUUUGCCACAUGGUGCCCUUGAUGAUGACCUUCAGGGUUUCAGGGCUCAUGACAGUGGGGGGGCUGGAGAGAGAUCUCUCUUCAUCCAGGAGGGAGGGAGUCAUCUCCAGGAAAUCUUCAGUCAGCGUCAGGGACCCAUCACUGGCUACAGAGACAUCAUCUCCGUCCUCUGGAACAUCUGUGUCCG
This is a long non-coding RNA of Esox lucius (northern pike), 1239 nucleotides long. RefSeq lists it as uncharacterized. The transcript is spliced from 2 exons. NCBI's taxonomy places the organism in Eukaryota, Metazoa, Chordata, Actinopteri, Esociformes, Esocidae. The record is from RefSeq and is a predicted model, not a curated record.